Mustela putorius furo (domestic ferret) is the source of this 107-nucleotide small nuclear RNA. NCBI's taxonomy places the organism in Eukaryota, Metazoa, Chordata, Mammalia, Carnivora, Mustelidae. The record is from Ensembl.
GUGCUCGCCUCGGCAGCACAGACACUAAAACUGGAAAGAUACGGAGAAGAUUAGCAUGGCCCCUUCGCAAGGAUGACACGCAAAUUCGCAAAUAGCUUGGCAGCAAG